RNAcentral lists this long non-coding RNA (277 nucleotides) under Durio zibethinus. RNAcentral describes it as "long non-coding RNA (DZIB_LNC001756)". Lineage: Eukaryota; Viridiplantae; Streptophyta; Magnoliopsida; Malvales; Malvaceae. The record is from RNAcentral.
AGCUCAGGAAACUCUCUGGUGGAGACUUGGGCUUAUCCGAUACACUGCUGUAGCUCUCAACAACGCAGUUGUCAAAUAUAUGGGUGGUUUUGGGAUCAGGUCCGUGAGAUAUCACGCAUGUAUAAUCCUCAGACAGCUCCAUUUCCUUGACAGGAAGACAUCCAGUGAAGACCCGAGGAGAAUCCUUGAUAUGGAUACCAGAAUUGGGAGAGCCAAAUGCUGAUGAUAAAUGUGAAUUCCUGCUCUUGAUUCCAAAAUCGGUUGGAGAUAUUGGAGU